Molecule: long non-coding RNA, 2809 nt
Filed under: Citrus x clementina
Lineage: Eukaryota; Viridiplantae; Streptophyta; Magnoliopsida; Sapindales; Rutaceae
Description: Citrus clementina (C. clementina) long non-coding RNA (CCLE_LNC000775)
Source: RNAcentral
CGGCCCAUGAGUCAUCGUAUGCAAUUGGCAGAGGGUGCUCUGGGGCUAACCUGUAGUCAACGGAAAUGGCGAUGAUGUUGGCUUGGGAGACAAGUGAAGUGAGAAAAUGCUUGCUCAUAACGCCGAAGGCCGAUCCCAAGCAAAAUGCUCCACCAUGGUAGUGAACUAGAAGGGGGAGCUUUUGAUCUGAGCCGUUGAUCUUGGGCAGGAAAAUACGAGCCUUGACCCCGGUUUCCGGUGACAUCAUUACAUCUUUGGAUUGGACUCCGGUGGUUGGGUCAAGGCCUGCGUCAACAGAUUGGAACACCCUGUACCUCUCCACACGCCCAUCUUUGUAAACCUUGAAGUAGGGUGGGAAAUCAUGGGUUAUUUCACUCUCGCCAGGAUCCAUCACUAAAUUCAAAUGGGUGAUUAGAAAGAAAAGAGGACUUUGUUUUGUUUUGUUUUGGUUGUGUAAUACGCAAAGCCAUUAAAUUAUGAAGCUAGAAAAGUGACAAAAUUUCUAGUUGAUAGAGUAGGUAAAGUCAAUAAAUAAAUUUGAUGCGUUGUAUAUUUUGGUUGCUGUUCCAUUUUAGUUAAUGAAUUAUUUGUUUCAUCACUCAUGCAUGAAUGACAAUGGCAUGUGAUGUCCCUCGUCAGUCAUGCUACUUGGUAAACAUGCAUCAAUGACAACGGCAUAUGUAUGUCCCUCGUCCUUUAUAAAGACUGACGUUAACUUAUAAGCAAAUAAUCUCCCACCGAUAUGGAUUGCCUACCACCUUUAUUUAUUGUACUUAGUUCGACCCCAGACUGGAAAAAAAUCUAGUAUCAACAGUUGACGCUAGAAAAAAAAUCUAUGUUUUCUUUUACGGCUUGAUGUUUUGCAUCCUUGAGUGAACUGCCUAAAAACUCAAGUUUUCUUCUUAUUCACCUCGAAGCAGGGCUUCUGUCAACACAGUUGUUGAUAACAAUAAUGCAACAAAAGUCACAUCAAUCAUCAAUUUCGCUACAGCAAUUCACUUUUAACUUAAGCAUGUCUUCCUAGACAUAAGUAUUCUUAAAAUUCACUAAAUGCCAGCAAGACUAAGAAGGAGAGGCUCUCAUUCUAAAGGGCUGGGAAAUAUCCUUCCCUAGACGAACUUUGUAGCAAGAAAGUGUGAAAAAUAAACACUCGAGUCGGGAAAAGCAAAAGUUUGCAGACAAUAAGGGAUUUCAAUGUAAAUAUCUAGGAAAGUGGAAAAUACACCUGAAGCCAGCCAAAAGCGUAUAACUUGGCAACCCUAGCUUCGUUGGGAGAAUAAAAUUACACUGUCCAAGAAACUUUGCUACACAGACAUGCUUUGCCUUGAAAAGUUAAGUAUUGCGACCACCACAGUGGUCACCAGGUUUUUCUUAAAACUAUUGGCACUUAAAUCUUCUAAAUUGACAAAGAUUACAUUUUUCAUACAAAAACAUACUAUGUGAGGCUGAACUAGCUUAAGAAAGCCUAUAUAUUAGAGCUAGGAUGAAAGUUCGUAAUAUGAAUUUCUAAGCGAGAUCAAACAGCUGCAUGUUGACGUUUUGAUAAGUCUUGAACUAAUGAUUUAUUUUAUAAGUUCAGAAUAACAUAUUAAAGUGUCCUUAAGAACAUGCAGAAUUAGGUUGUUUGACCUCACUAAAAACUAUAGGCUCAAUGGAAAAAAAAAAAAAUAGAUCCAAGAAAUGAAGAGAACUUGCGCAAUUAGAAGAUAUGAGAUGCCAGAUAAACAAAAAUCACCUUUCACCAAAGAUGAUGCCAAAAACCUCAUAUUACCUAACACAGGAAAAUUUGGCAUAGAAUUUAUUGUGCAAAUUUUAUUGUAUACACAAGCAUACAAAUCUAUUAUCGUAUAGAUUUAUGGUGACGUGUGUUGAUCUAUUACAUAAAAAUAAUUUUUUAUUGGAACUUAUUUCUAUUACAAUUUUCUGGACUUGAUUAUAUCCUUUAACAUUAACAUGGAAUCAAUUUAUUAUAUUCUUAAAAAAGUUUUCAACUUUAUUGCUGCUGAGACUGAGAUAUCUCGCACAAAACAAGAGCUACAACUAUUGAGUACAAUUCAUAACUCUAUGCAUUACUGAUAAAAUGAACCAUUUUCUCAAUGAACGGCCCAACUUUCUCACUGUCUGGAGUAAACAUGUGAAAGCAAUGAUCUUCACCUGAAGUCUCAUAAAAUUCCACGUUACCGCCCCAUUCACUUUUGGCCAAAGUCUCGUAAUACGCCACGCCUCUAUUUCUCAGCCCAUCUUUCUCUGCCACGCAAACCAGCACCCUAUCCCCAGCCAUAUUCUUCAAAUUCGGAUCCACUGCGGGAUUCAAUUUCGGGUCAUCAUCGGAUCCGGAACUACCCGGACACAUGUACUUGUACAAUUCAUGCGGCUCUUUAACUCCAAAGAAUGGGUGCACAAUAAGCAGCCCAUCAAUUUUGAUGCUAGCUAAUUUAGUAGCGCCAGCUUGGACUGCCACGUAGUGUGCUAUGUUGGCUCCGGCACUAUCUCCCCCCAGAAAAACCCGCCCAAGAUCGGCGUGUUCGUUAAGCCAUGGUUCGGGCCCGAGUCCAUUAGAGUGGGCCGCAACCCAUUGUAGCCCGGCCCAUGAGUCAUCGUAUGCAAUUGGUAGAGGGUGCUCUGGGGCUAACCUGUAGUCAACGGAAAUGGCGAUGAUGUUGGCUUGGGAGACAAGUGAGGUGAGAAAAUUGUUGAACAUAACGCCAAAGGCUGAUCCCAAGCAAAAUGCUCCACCAUGGUAGUGAACUAGAAGGGGGAGCUUUUGAUCUGGGCCGUUGAUCUUGGGCAGAAAAAUACGGGCCUUGAC